GAUUAAGUUACAAAGGGCGAAUGGAGGAUGCCUAGGCUUCUAUCGGCGAGGAAGGACGCGGACAGCUGCGAAAAGCUCCGGGGAUCUGCAAACAGGAUUAGAUCCGGAGAUAUCCGAAUGGGGCAACCCGUCAUGCUGAAGGCAUGACACAUCGAAAGAUGGGCCAACGCAGGGAACUGAAACAUCUAAGUACCUGCAGGAAAAGAAAGAAAAUAUCGAUUUCCCGAGUAGUGGCGAGCGAAAAGGAAAUAGCCCAAACCGAUAUUGUUGCGGCAAUAUCGGGGUUAUAGGACUGAGCCAUACGCACAUGAAAUUAACUGGAAUAUACUGGAAAGUAUGAUCAUAGAGGGUGAUAAUCCCGUACAGGCAAGUUUCAUGUAAGUUAUCAGAAUCCUGAGUAGGGCGGGACACGAGGAAUCCUGUCUGAAUUCACGGGGACCAUCCCGUAAGGCUAAAUACGAAUAGAAGACCGAUAGUGAACCAGUACUGUGAAGGAAAGGUGAAAAGAACCGUGAACAACGGAGUGCAAUAGAACCUGAAACCAUUCGCUUACAAGCGGUCGGAGUCCUGAAAGGGAUGACGGCGUGCCUUUUGGAUAAUGAGCCUACGAGUUGCGUUUCACUAGCGAGGCUAAGUUCUUCAGGAACGGAGCCGAAGCGAAAGCGAGUCUGAACAGGGCGUUAAGUUAGUGGGAGCAGACGCGAAACCUUGUGAUCUACCCUUGACCAGGUUGAAGUUACCGUAACAGGUAAUGGAGGACCGAACCAGUUUCCGUUGAAAAGGAUUUGGAUGAGUUGAGGGUAGGGGUGAAAGGCUAAUCAAACUGGGAGAUAGCUCGUACUCCCCGAAAUGUCUUUAGGGACAGCCUCGAAAUAGCUUGCAUGAGGUAGAGCUACUGAUAGGAUGCGAGGGCUUCACCGCCUAUCAAAUCCUGACAAACUCCGAAUGCGUGCAAGUGUUUUUCGGGAGUGAGUCAUCGGGUGCUAAUGUCCGGUGGCGAGAGGGAAACAGCCCAGACCAACGUCUAAGGCCUCCAAACGUGUGUUAAGUUGACAGAACGAUGUUCGGUUGCAGAGACAGCUAGGAUGUUAGCUUGGAAGCAGCUAUUCAUUUAAAGAGUG
RNAcentral lists this ribosomal RNA (1121 nucleotides) under Bacteroidales bacterium. RNAcentral's name for it is "partial 23S ribosomal RNA". It matches the Rfam family "Bacterial large subunit ribosomal RNA", at positions 1 to 1132 of the family's 2925-position model. Lineage: Bacteria; Pseudomonadati; Bacteroidota; Bacteroidia; Bacteroidales. The record is from RNAcentral.